This 494-nucleotide unclassified non-coding RNA is filed under the name Hevea brasiliensis (rubber tree). The record is from RNAcentral. Lineage: Eukaryota; Viridiplantae; Streptophyta; Magnoliopsida; Malpighiales; Euphorbiaceae.
AGAUAUACUAUUAUUCAUGAAAAAUAACUUCCUUCAUACGAAAUACACCAUGUUGAUGCUUUUACAAACAAAGAAAUAAGCAACCGUCUGCUAGCUUCCACCCAAAAAAAAGGAACCUUUGUUUUAUUAACCAAUAAUGAUUCAAGCAUUUGUGUCCACCAGCUCCAGUAAACAGGUAUAGAAGAUGCACAAAGAAAACAAGGAUGAUAGAGUAGCACAUGAUCAGUUUUAAAACUUUGCAUGUACUGAUCAAUAACCAAAAUGAGCUUCUGGAAGCCAGACCCUACUUUGACUGUGUGUCACCCGAUGAAAUUGCAGGUUCAUCCUUCUUUGAACCAGCAUCCAAUUUGCCAGAAGUAACCGCCUCCAUUGUAUUAUAGAAUUCCUCAGGGAGAGGACCAGGACGGUGCAGAGGAACAUGUUUUGGUACUGGAGCAUCAUUUUCAAUGACUUCACAUUCAUAAUCAUCAGGAAUACCCCAAGGUUUCCACUCG